Non-coding RNA from Streptomyces sp. WM4235, 43 nucleotides. The record is from Rfam. NCBI's taxonomy places the organism in Bacteria, Bacillati, Actinomycetota, Actinomycetes, Kitasatosporales, Streptomycetaceae.
CGCUCCCAUGCGUCGCUGGUAACGGCGGGGUGUGAAGCGGAGC